AAUGAACGCUGGCGGCAUGCCUAACACAUGCAAGUCGAACGAGACCUUCGGGUCUAGUGGCGCACGGGUGCGUAACGCGUGGGAAUCUGCCCUUGGGUUCGGAAUAACAGUGAGAAAUUACUGCUAAUACCGGAUAAUGACGUAAGUCCAAAGAUUUAUCGCCCAAGGAUGAGCCCGCGUAGGAUUAGCUAGUUGGUGAGGUAAAGGCUCACCAAGGCGACGAUCCUUAGCUGGUCUGAGAGGAUGAUCAGCCACACUGGGACUGAGACACGGCCCAGACUCCUACGGGAGGCAGCAGUGGGGAAUAUUGGACAAUGGGCGAAAGCCUGAUCCAGCAAUGCCGCGUGAGUGAUGAAGGCCUUAGGGUUGUAAAGCUCUUUUACCCGGGAUGAUAAUGACAGUACCGGGAGAAUAAGCCCCCGGCUAACUCCGUGCCAGCAGCCGCUGUAAU
This 451-nucleotide ribosomal RNA is filed under the name uncultured bacterium. Its description in RNAcentral is "bacterial SSU rRNA". It matches the Rfam family "Bacterial small subunit ribosomal RNA", at positions 29 to 524 of the family's 1533-position model. The record is from RNAcentral.